GAUGAAAGGCCGGUUCCCGUACGAUCACCGAAGUUAAGCAACGCAGAGCCUGGUCAUUACCUAGAUGGGUGACCGCUUGGGAAUACCAGGUGCUGUAAG
RNAcentral lists this ribosomal RNA (99 nucleotides) under Acanthosepion pharaonis. The record is from RNAcentral. Lineage: Eukaryota; Metazoa; Mollusca; Cephalopoda; Sepiida; Sepiidae.